GUGAGGAAUAUUGGACAAUGGGCGCAAGCCUGAUCCAGCCAUGCCGCGUGCAGGAAGACGCAUCUAUGGUGUGUAAACUGCUUUUGUACGGGAAGAAACACUCCCUCGUGAGGGAGCUUGACGGUACCGUAAGAAUAAGGAUCGGCCAACUCCGUGCCAGCAGCCGCGGUAAUACGGAGGAUCCAAGCGUUAUCCGGAAUCAUUGGGUUUAAAGGGUCCGUAGGCGGUUUAAUAAGUCAGUGGUGAAAGCCCAUCGCUCAACGAUGGAACGGCCAUUGAUACUGUUAGACUUGAAUUACAAGGAAGUAACUAGAAUAUGUAGUGUAGCGGUGAAAUGCUUAGAUAUUACAUGGAAUACCAAUUGCGAAGGCAGGUUACUACUUGUGGAUUGACGCUGAUGGACGAAAGCGUGGGGAGCGAACAGGAUUAGAUACCCCGGUAGUCC
Molecule: ribosomal RNA, 445 nt
Filed under: uncultured bacterium
Lineage: Bacteria
Description: partial 16S ribosomal RNA
Rfam family: Bacterial small subunit ribosomal RNA
Source: RNAcentral